GAACGCACCUUGCGCUCCUUGGUAUUCCGAGGAGCAUGCCUGUUUGAGUGUCAUUAAAUUCUCAACCUCACCAAUUUUGUUAUGAAAUUGUGUGUAGGCUUGGAUGUGGGGGUUGCAGGUCCACUUUGUGGUCUGCUCCUCUGAAAUGUAUUAGUGGGUUUGGCCCCUAAUCUAUUGGUGUGAUAAUUAUCUACGCCGUGGAUUGGAUGGCUAUCUUAGACCUGCUCCUAACCGUCCUUCACAGGACAACUCUUGACAUUUUUGACCUCAAAUCAGGUAAGACUACCCGCUGAACUUAAG
RNAcentral lists this unclassified non-coding RNA (300 nucleotides) under uncultured Coprinopsis. RNAcentral describes it as "sequence contains 5.8S rRNA gene". The stretch from base 1 to 53 matches the Rfam family "5.8S ribosomal RNA", at positions 102 to 154 of the family's 154-position model. Lineage: Eukaryota; Fungi; Basidiomycota; Agaricomycetes; Agaricales; Psathyrellaceae. The record is from RNAcentral.